This is a non-coding RNA of Schistosoma margrebowiei, 45 nucleotides long. The record is from Rfam. Lineage: Eukaryota; Metazoa; Platyhelminthes; Trematoda; Strigeidida; Schistosomatidae.
ACCUUGAUGACGAGUGCCAAAUAGUACGAAACCUGGGUCCAGGGU